Molecule: long non-coding RNA, 2719 nt
Organism: Helianthus annuus (common sunflower)
Lineage: Eukaryota; Viridiplantae; Streptophyta; Magnoliopsida; Asterales; Asteraceae
Exons: 6
Source: RefSeq, a predicted model, not a curated record
CUCACUUUCUCUCUCUCCAGUAUGUUUCUUUAACGCAAGAAGAUGAUGAUGAAUAAAAGAUCCCUGCAUUCAGAUCUAUUCAUCAAAAUAACAUAAUCGCAAACAAUCAAACAGAGCAGAGGCACUGGCUUCAAUCAAUCGGUUCACACCAUUUUCCUCAUUAUCCUCUAAUUUAGGGUUUCAUAGUACCAAAUUUCUAUAACAUCUAUGUUCAAUUGAGUUCAAAUUGUACACAAUUGAGAAGAAUCAAAGAGUUAAAGCUCACUUUUGAUGGAUUUGAGAAGGUACCGACGGUUUUUCUUCACCGGAAUUAAUGGCGGAUUCGUCGGAAGAUGUCGUCAUCGACAACUCCGCUUCUCCCCUGCCAGGCGGAAGCAGAAACUAUUAGCAAAAACUGAGUUCGAGAUUUCAUUUACAUUUGUUUUAUUAACUUUUUAUAUCACUAGGUUAUGGAUUAAAACUAUUUGUUUUAUUAACUGUUUAUAUCACUAAGUUAUGGAUUAAAAUCAUUCAAUGAUUAUGAUAUGCUUUAUUGUUUGCAAAACUAUUUGUUUUAUUAACUGUUUAUAUCACUAGGUUAUGGAUUAAAAUCGUUCUUACGAUCCUUGAUAGCUCCAGCGAGACGCUUCGGAAGCAGAUUGGAAUCGGACGAUAAAACACGAGUAGAUGCUUCUGAUGGUCUUCAACAUCAACUCUCUGAUUCGGAUGAUUAUCAUCCCACCACUUGUAGGAUAAUAUACACAAUUAACAGAAUAACAUCUAAGUUUUAUUGUUAUCAUUGCAGCCAAAGAGCUGUAGUAGGGCUAUGAAGGCUGUUGGUGUUGUGGAAGCCAGCUGUGAAGAAAUAUUUGAGCUUGUAAUGAGCAUGGAUGGAACACGCUUUGAGUAAGCUUUCUUUUGUAAUAUAAUAUUUCUAAAUACGUAUUUUUGUUUUGGUUUAGUGACAGUUUUUUAGGACGGUUAUGCCUCUGAAACCUCAGUGAAAAUCGGUGGAGAGUCGCUUACCACUACGACUUCGUCCCAACUUAUCCAGUUGAACUUCAUAAAGCGAUUUCUCAGUGGAGGAUUUAUCAAGCACAUGCAGUUUCGACUGCUGAUAAGGCUUAUCUUUGUAAUCAGCAAUCUCGGAAUCACUGAACGCCCGUGACAUAAGAAACUGAUGCUGCAGGUGCGGGAGCUGCAGCUUUUAACGGUGUUUCGGCGUCAUGUGCGAGUUCAUUCUCGAGGUAUAGUGUUAAAGCAAGAUGAUUAGCUUUUUGCUUUGCGUUACGAUUGGAAGAACCUUUGCUUACUCCUGAAGCAUGCUGAUGUAGAUCUUUGUACUUGAAAUUUUGUUUCUUCUUCCCAGCGGACACUUAUGGAUGCCAUUCGAAUACUUAAACUUUAGUGUACAAUAUGAUUUGAUAAGUUUAUAAUAAAGUACAAAAAAUAUAUAAAAAAAGGAUAAGCGAUCAAAGUAAAUGCAACCCAUUUACUACAUACGAUUUACUGUAUUUGGAAAAAAAACUCAUAUCUUAUUUGGUGCUAUGUGCAGGGGGACCUAAAGAUGUCCGCGCUGGUCAUUAUCGGAGCAUAUUCGCUGUAGAGUUGAUUCACGCUGAAAUUGUUUAUUUAAAUUAUCUGCAUUGUCUACAUAACUGAUCUCAUACGAAUCUGUUUUACCCAGUUUAAUCACGAAUCAACUGUACUUGAACAUCGUUCAUUCGUUAAAAUAUUGUUCAUUCACUGUAUCGCAGAAUUUGUUCGAUUGCAGAAUCGGAUCUGGUAAUAUUCACUGCAGAAUCAGCAUAUAUAUGUACACUCGCUGCAGAAAAGUUUCAUUCAGUGCAAAAUUGGUCGUCCGCAGAACUGAUCUGAAAUGUCUAUUCAUUCAUAGAAAGUCACUGCAGAAUCAGUUCGCUGCUGUGCUUAUUUUGUUCGCGCAAAUUAGUUCGAAAUACUUUUGGUGUCACUGAAGAAUCGUUUUGAUUACUUAAUUCAGCUACUACAGAAUCAGCAUAGAGGAAAGAAAAACCCCAACUGAGAGGCAGAAAGAUACGGAGAUGCCAGAGGUGUGAUGGCUGCCAUGACAGAACGGAAAGCGGGACAUCUACGUCAUGUGAUUUGGGUUUGGUUUUGGGUUGAAUCAUCAUGUACGUAUAAAGCGUGAGUUCGAACGUUAUAGGUGGAAAUCAAUGAAGCAAGGAAAGUUAAAGCUAUGCGAGAAUGCGAGGUCCAACCGUACCUCGACAACCCCCCCCCCCUCAAAGACUACUACAGGUUCAUAAACAAAGUUCUUAUUGUGAAAUGGCAUUAACUGCCAACAGGUUCAUAGAUAGGGAAAACGAGCUUCGACAACGCGCUCAAAGACCACCGUUGGAUCCCUAGACAAGAUCUAAGCUUUGCAGGAGUUUCGCAUCCCCAAAAGAAGCCAAAAGCUCAGAAGCAGAGGAUUAAACCUUCUCGUCACUGAAAUCAUCCCUUCUGAAAGGUAUAUUCAGUACUGUUGAACCACAAGUCAGCCUCGCUUAUCAGAUGCUGCAGACACAUUGUUGCAGGAAAGUUAUGUUAAAAUCAAACAAGUAUUUGCCAUAAUAAACACUAUAUGUUUAAAUCAUCAUCUAUUAGAAUUUCAAUCAAAUUUUAUGUACAUUAAUAUGCCAUGAAAUGUUGACAUUUUGUAUUGGAUGUAGGAUAUGAGGCGACAGACAAAUGAAACUGGGGAAUCAACUGCUGUACC